Molecule: long non-coding RNA, 287 nt
Filed under: Nicotiana benthamiana
Lineage: Eukaryota; Viridiplantae; Streptophyta; Magnoliopsida; Solanales; Solanaceae
Description: long non-coding RNA (NBEN_LNC003658)
Source: RNAcentral
UCUGUGGUGGCCACUGCUUUUGUCACUACAGUAUCACUUAUCUGGAGGAGCAGGAAUACUAUCAGAUUCGAGGGGAAAUCCUAUGAUGAAAAUCAAGUCUGUCGAGUGAUUGCAAUACUUAUACAAGCUCGGGGCAGGAAAUGUAAGAAAUGGCAAAAGGGGCUGCGACAACUAAACAACUAUCCUUAGCUAGUUUAGAAAUGUAUUAGCUAAAGAUUGUAGUGUGGUAGUUAGUCUAUACUACCAUACAGAACUUAUACUUGUAUAUUUUUGAUAUCAAUGGAAAC